Molecule: ribosomal RNA, 497 nt
Filed under: uncultured bacterium
Lineage: Bacteria
Description: partial 16S ribosomal RNA
Rfam family: Bacterial small subunit ribosomal RNA
Source: RNAcentral
GAUGAACGCUGGCGGCGUGCCUAAUACAUGCAAGUCGAGCGAACAGACGAGGAGCUUGCUCCUCUGACGUUAGCGGCGCACGGGUGAGUAACACGUGGAUAACCUCCCUAUCUGACUGGGAUAACUUCGAGACACCGGAGCUAAUACCGGAUAACAUGUUGAACCGCAUGGUGCAAUAGUGAAUGACGGUCUUGCUGGCACGUCUAGAUGGUUCCGGGCCGCAUUGGCUAGUUGGUAAGGUAACGGCUUACCACGGCAACGAUGCGUAGCCGACCUGAGAGAGGGAUAGGCGACACUGGAAGGGGACCACGGUCCAGACUCCUACGGGAGGCCGCAGUAGGGUAUCUUCCGCAGUAGGCGAAAGCAUGACGGAGCAACGGGGCGUGAGUGAAGAAGGUCUUGGGAUCGUGAAACUGUGUUAUUAGGGAAGAACAAAUGUGUAAGUAACUGUGCACGUCUUGACGGUACCUAGUCAAAAAGCCACGGCUAACUACGUG